This 324-nucleotide ribosomal RNA is filed under the name uncultured soil bacterium. RNAcentral's name for it is "bacterial SSU rRNA". It matches the Rfam family "Bacterial small subunit ribosomal RNA", at positions 26 to 351 of the family's 1533-position model. The record is from RNAcentral.
AGAUUGAACGCUGGCGGCAGGCCUAACACAUGCAAGUCGAGCGGCAGCACGGGUACUUGUACCUGGUGGCGAGCGGCGGACGGGUGAGUAAUGCCUAGGAAUCUGCCUGGUAGUGGGGGAUAACGCUCGGAAACGGACGCUAAUACCGCAUACGUCCUACGGGAGAAAGCAGGGGACCUUCGGGCCUUGCGCUAUCAGAUGAGCCUAGGUCGGAUUAGCUAGUUGGUGAGGUAAUGGCUCACCAAGGCGACGAUCCGUAACUGGUCUGAGAGGAUGAUCAGUCACACUGGAACUGAGACACGGUCCAGACUCCUACGGGAGCAG